AAGAUCAUAUCAUAGGGAACAUGUGUACUACGUUUAAAGUUGAUUGGACUUCAACUGCAUCAAAAACUACCUUGACCAAAAACUUUAACCUGAAGCAGGACAGACAGACGGACAAACAGACGGACGGAUGCACAGACCAGAAAACAUAAUGCCCCUCUACUAUCGUAGGUGGGGCAUAAAAAACAUGUAAAAAUCUAACAAAAUUCUUUAUAGUGAUAAGCAUAAUAAUUUGAAAAGUGAAACAUUACCCCCAUCCCUAUCUUCAGAAGUGAAUUAUUAACUCCAGUAUUUUCCCUCGAGUUUUCAAAUAGCACCAUAGAAC
RNAcentral lists this long non-coding RNA (322 nucleotides) under Mytilus galloprovincialis (Mediterranean mussel). Lineage: Eukaryota; Metazoa; Mollusca; Bivalvia; Mytilida; Mytilidae. The record is from RNAcentral.